UACGGGGGGGGCAAGCGUUGUUCGGAAUUACUGGGCGUAAAGGGCUCGUAGGUGGCCAACUAAGUCAGACGUGAAAUCCCUCGGCUUAACCGGGGAACUGCGUCUGAUACUGGAUGGCUUGAGUUUGGGAGAGGGACGCGGAAUUCCAGGUGUAGCGGUGAAAUGCGUAGAUAUCUGGAGGAACACCGGUGGCGAAGGCGGCGUCCUGGACCAACACUGACGCUGAGGCGCGAAAGCUAGGGUAGCAAACGGG
RNAcentral lists this ribosomal RNA (253 nucleotides) under uncultured bacterium. RNAcentral's name for it is "partial 16S ribosomal RNA". It matches the Rfam family "Bacterial small subunit ribosomal RNA", at positions 524 to 776 of the family's 1533-position model. The record is from RNAcentral.